GUAGGGAAUCUUGCGCAAUGGGCGAAAGCCUGACGCAGCCAUGCCGCGUGAAUGAUGAAGGUCUUAGGAUUGUAAAAUUCUUUCACCGGGGACGAUAAUGACGGUACCCGGAGAAGAAGCCCCGGCUAACUUCGUGCCAGCAGCCGCGGUAAUACGAAGGGGGCUAGCGUUGCUCGGAAUUACUGGGCGUAAAGGGAGCGUAGGCGGAUAGUUUAGUCAGAGGUGAAAGCCCAGGGCUCAACCUUGGAAUUGCCUUUGAUACUGGCUAUCUUGAGUAUGGAAGAAGUAUGUGGAACUCCGAGUGUAGAGGUGAAAUUCGUAGAUAUUCGGAAGAACACCAGUGGCGAAGGCGACAUACUGGUCCAUUACUGACGCUGAGGCUCGAAAGCGUGGGGAGCAAACAGGAUUAGAUACCCCAGUAGUCC
Molecule: ribosomal RNA, 425 nt
Filed under: uncultured bacterium
Lineage: Bacteria
Description: partial 16S ribosomal RNA
Rfam family: Bacterial small subunit ribosomal RNA
Source: RNAcentral